Molecule: transfer RNA, 77 nt
Filed under: Yarrowia sp. B02
Lineage: Eukaryota; Fungi; Ascomycota; Dipodascomycetes; Dipodascales
Also listed under: 2 other names
Description: tRNA-Lys
Rfam family: tRNA
About the family: Transfer RNA (tRNA) molecules are approximately 80 nucleotides in length. Their secondary structure includes four short double-helical elements and three loops (D, anti-codon, and T loops). Further hydrogen bonds mediate the characteristic L-shaped molecular structure. tRNAs have two regions of fundamental functional importance: the anti-codon, which is responsible for specific mRNA codon recognition, and the 3' end, to which the tRNAs corresponding amino acid is attached (by aminoacyl-tRNA synthetases). tRNAs cope with the degeneracy of the genetic code in two manners: having more than one tRNA (with a specific anti-codon) for a particular amino acid; and 'wobble' base-pairing, i.e. permitting non-standard base-pairing at the 3rd anti-codon position.
Source: RNAcentral
GCCUGGCUAGCUCAAUCGGUAGAGCGUGAGACUCUUAUUCCAUCUCAAGGCUGUGGGUUCAAGCCCCACGUCGGGCU